Molecule: ribosomal RNA, 624 nt
Filed under: uncultured archaeon
Lineage: Archaea
Description: bacterial SSU rRNA
Rfam family: Archaeal small subunit ribosomal RNA
Source: RNAcentral
ACGGGGUGCAGCAGGCGCGAAACCUCCACAAUUCACGCAAGUGAGAUGGGGUUACCUCGAGUGCUAUCUGAAGAAGGUGGCUUUUCCAUGGUGUAAUGAGCCGUGGGAAUAAGGGGGGGGCAAGACUGGUGUCAGCCGCCGCGGUAACACCAGCCCCCCGAGUGGUGGGGAUGAUUAUUUGGCCUAAAGCGUCCGUAGCCAGCUCGGUAAAUCUCUCGUUAAAUCCAGCGUCCUAAGCGUUGGGCUGCGAGGGAAACUGCCGAACUAGAGGGUGGGAGAGGUCAGCGGUAUUCCUGGGGUAGGGGCGAAAUCCAUUGAUCCCAGGAGGACCACCAGUGGCGAAGGCUGCUGACUAGAACACGCCUGACGGUGAGGGACGAAAGCUGGGGUAGCGAAUCGGAUUAGAUACCCGAGUAGUCCCAGCCGUAAACGAUGCGGGCUAGGUGUUGGGUCGGCCAUGCGCCGCCUCAGUGCCACAGGGAAGCCAUUAAGCCUGCCGCCUGGGGAGCACGGCCGCAAGGCUGAAACUUAAAGGAAUUGGCGGGGGAGCACCACCAGGCGUGAAGCCUGCGGUUUAAUUGGAGUCAACGCCGGGAACCUUACCGGGAGCGACAGCAGAGUGAA